RNAcentral lists this transfer RNA (76 nucleotides) under Planctomycetota bacterium. Its description in RNAcentral is "tRNA-Lys". It matches the Rfam family "tRNA". Rfam says of the family: Transfer RNA (tRNA) molecules are approximately 80 nucleotides in length. Their secondary structure includes four short double-helical elements and three loops (D, anti-codon, and T loops). Further hydrogen bonds mediate the characteristic L-shaped molecular structure. tRNAs have two regions of fundamental functional importance: the anti-codon, which is responsible for specific mRNA codon recognition, and the 3' end, to which the tRNAs corresponding amino acid is attached (by aminoacyl-tRNA synthetases). tRNAs cope with the degeneracy of the genetic code in two manners: having more than one tRNA (with a specific anti-codon) for a particular amino acid; and 'wobble' base-pairing, i.e. permitting non-standard base-pairing at the 3rd anti-codon position. Lineage: Bacteria; Pseudomonadati; Planctomycetota. RNAcentral also lists the same sequence under 1 other name. The record is from RNAcentral.
GGGUGCGUAGCUCAGUUGGUAGAGCAAUUGACUCUUAAUCAAUAGGUCUGGGGUUCGACCCCCCACGCGCCUACCA